GAUGAAGAACGCAGCGAAAUGCGAUAAGUAAUGUGAAUUGCAGAAUUCAGUGAAUCAUCGAAUCUUUGAACGCACAUUGCGCCCGCCAGUAUUCUGGCGGGCAUGCCUGUCCGAGCGUCAUUUCAACCCUCGAACCCCUCCGGGGGGUCGGCGUUGGGGAUCGGCACUUACCUGCCGGCCCCGAAAUACAGUGGCGGUCUCGCCGCAGCCUCUCCUGCGCAGUAGUUUGCACACUCGCACCGGGAGCGCGGCGCGUCCACGGCCGUAAAACAACCCAAACUUCUGAAAUGUUGACCUCGGAUCAGGUAGGAAUACCCGCUGAACUUAAGCAUAUCAAUAAGCGGACGA
RNAcentral lists this unclassified non-coding RNA (348 nucleotides) under soil metagenome. Its description in RNAcentral is "partial contains 5.8S ribosomal RNA, internal transcribed spacer 2, and large subunit ribosomal RNA". The stretch from base 1 to 120 matches the Rfam family "5.8S ribosomal RNA", at positions 35 to 154 of the family's 154-position model. The record is from RNAcentral.